RNAcentral lists this ribosomal RNA (393 nucleotides) under uncultured bacterium. Its description in RNAcentral is "partial 16S ribosomal RNA". It matches the Rfam family "Bacterial small subunit ribosomal RNA", at positions 523 to 918 of the family's 1533-position model. The record is from RNAcentral.
AUACGGAAGAUGCGAGCGUUAUCCGGAUUUAUUGGGUUUAAAGGGAGCGUAGGCGGAUUGUUAAGUCAGCGGUCAAAUGUCGGGGCUCAACCCCGGAACUGCCUCGCGAACUGGCGGUCUUGAAUGUACGUGCCGCGGGAGGAAUGUGAGGUGUAGGGGGGAAAUGCAUAGAGAUCACACAGAACACCGAUUGCGAAGGCAUCUCACGAACGGAUGAUUGACGCUGAGGCACGAAAGCGUGGGGAUCAAACAGGAUUAGAUACCCUGGUAGUCCACGCAGUAAACGAUGAUAACUAACCGCUGGUGCGCAAGUAUCAGUGGCCAAGCGAAAGCGAUAAGUUAUCCACCUGGGGAGUACGACCGCAAGGUUGAAACUCAAAGGAAUUGACGGGG